Molecule: non-coding RNA, 2551 nt
Organism: Podarcis lilfordi (Lilford's wall lizard)
Lineage: Eukaryota; Metazoa; Chordata; Lepidosauria; Squamata; Lacertidae
Source: the annotation of a GenBank genome assembly
ACCUGCCCGCCGUCCGACCGAGUGACCACGUCCGUGGAAGUGGAGAAGACACGGCCAGAGAUAUACCAGCUCUUUGGCUACGGAGACGUGGUAGGAAAGCCUCUGUCUGGGGGAGAAGCCAGGAUGAUGGGGCAGAAACGAGACGCUAAUCUUUAUUGUCAUUGUCCCGUACAGAACAAGAAAAUUGAAAAAUCUACGUAAGACAUUCAAAACCCAACAAGCCUGCUAUCCCAGCUAUCCCAGCCUGGUUAGCCCCCUAAAAACUCUGAUACCCCAUAAUUAAAUACAAUAUACUCCCACAGAGACUACCUUACACUGCGUUUAACACCAAAAUCGCAUUUGAGUAGAAACUGUUUCUCAGGCAGGUCUUUAUAACCCUGUACCUUCUUCCAGAAGGCAGAAGCUGAAAGAGAUCAUUUCCGGGGUGCGCACUAUCCUGCGCUAUCUCUGCAGCUUUCUUAUGGCGCCUGGAAGCAUAGAUUUGAUCCAAGGUGGGAAGAGUGCACCCAAUUAUUCUCUCCCGCAGUCUUGACAACCCUGGACAGCAUUGUUUUCCCUGGCUGUGCAGCUCCCAAACCGCACACACAGGCCACAAACAGCCCCUGACUUCGGAGCAGGAGCCCCCAUUCAGGGUCAGGGCUUGGCGGCACCUCCCUGGCGCUGCCCAGCGUUGCCCGUGUCCUUUGCCCCACAGCCUCCUCUGCACAAGGGGGAAAGCCUCUGAGCACAGCAGCUGCUGCUUCUGACUCUGGCACGGAAGAGGCCUUUGGCUGAGGAAGAGGCCUUUGCGCGGCUCCGAAGAGCCACAGGCUGGACCAGGCAGACCUCCUCAUCCUGGGGGGCAGGCUCCUCUAUACUCAGAACGUCCUCCUUACAUGGAACGGACUCCCUUGGAGAUUUGAAAGAUGGGUGGACAUCUGGCAGGGAUUCUUCAGUUGUGGUUCCUGCAUGGCUGGGGGUUGGGCUUGUUAAAGUUUGUGGGUCGAAACCUUUGACCCAGUGGGCAUAGCUGUCAACCGUCCCUUAUUUGGCAGGAAAGUCCCUUAUCCCAGCGCCGUGUCCUGCCUGCUGUCCCUUACUGAUGAUGUCCCUUCAAUUUCCCGGGCUUUCAAGGAAGCAGCUCCUCCCUCCCUCCCUCCCUGCCGGCCAGGAGGAGGGAGGCUCCAACUUUGUUGGCUUGGCUGCGUUGCUCACCCAAUAAGGAGUCCAAGAACGACUGGGGGGUGGUGCUUGCUUGCCUUGUGCCAAUCAAAUCGGCCGCCUUGCCUGGGGACCUCGCCUUGCUCAGCGCUUCCCAGCAGAGAGGUGACGGUGGUUUCCUUGCUGCAUCCCUUUGCCGGGUUGCUGCGCUGUGGAAACACCACUCUGAGGCUUCAUUUGGCUGCUGGCUGGGCUUUCUGCCUUUGGCUUGGAGGGGCUCAGAAGGCGAAUAUACCUGUGCUCUGAAAAUCCCUUAUUUUGGCUGCUGAUCCCUUAUUUUCGAGGCUGCUGGUCCCUUAUUUUCAAACCUGUAAGUUGACAGCUAUGCCAGUGGGUCAUGCAGGAACUGUGGCUUUGCCUGUGUCUGUGUGGUGUCUUCAAUAACUCAACUCGACACCAGUGCUUCUAAUCUAUCACUCUUUAUUUUGAAGCAUACAAAACAGAAAAGAAAACCUACAAAAAAGAAAACCUUUCUGUCUCUAACAGAACUGAAACUAUCUCGCUCCCAUUCUCAGACACUCUGCACUCGGAGAGAGCUCAGCCCACAGGAAAAUGCCCGGCUUAUAUGGGCAGUGCACCCAGUUAAUAAGAAGGCCUCCUGGGAGUGUUAACUCUCAACUGUCCAGAACCACAACAGGGCUGGAUGACCCCUGGGGGUCCCUUCCAACUCUCCCGUUCUAAGUUCUGCUUGUGAAGCACUGCCUGGGCUGAGCAGCAGGAAGGCAGUGCUGCCCUGGGGGUGGAGGACUGACCUCAGAACAUGAAAUGAGCUCUGCUGGACCAGCAUCCUGUUCGCCCACAGGGGCCAAAGACCCCUAAGACCCCAGGAGUCUAGACUGCCUCUGGAACUGGAGCCUCUGCCUGACAAGCCUAGCUGCUGGUCAGUGGGGAUCCCACCUAGUCCAGCCUCCUGUUCCUCACCAUGGCUGACCAGAUGCCCAUUACGGGAAACCCACAAGCAGGAUCUGAGCACGAGAGCAACUCCUCUCCCUUGCUGCCCUGGCAUUCAGAAGCAUCUCUGCAUCCUGGCAAGUGGCCACUGAGAGCCCCUUUCUCCCCCAUAAGUUUAGCCAAUCCUCUUUUAAAGCCGUCCCGGUAGGUGGCCAUCUUGUGGGAGGGAGUUCCACAGUCUAACACUGUGCUGCAGGAAGGAGUCCUUUCUGCAUCUUCCAACAUUCAUCUUCCUUGGGCGCCUGGGAAUUCUAGUCUUAUGAGAGAGAGAGACCAAGAGGAGAAGGGGACUCUGGCUUCUUCUCCCUCCAGGUCUUUGUCAGCAAGGACGUGGCCAAGGCGAGGGCUUCUACCCGGCCGCCGAAGCUGUCAAGGGGCUCCGCAGAUAUCUGAAGCCGGG